RNAcentral lists this transfer RNA (73 nucleotides) under Actinomycetota bacterium. RNAcentral's name for it is "Actinobacteria bacterium tRNA-Ala". It matches the Rfam family "tRNA". From Rfam's summary of the family: Transfer RNA (tRNA) molecules are approximately 80 nucleotides in length. Their secondary structure includes four short double-helical elements and three loops (D, anti-codon, and T loops). The record is from RNAcentral. Lineage: Bacteria; Bacillati; Actinomycetota.
GGGGCUAUGGCGCAGCUGGUAGCGCGACAGUAUGGCAUACUGUAGGUCAGGGGUUCGAAUCCCCUUAGCUCCA